GAUGAACGCUGGCGGCGUGCCUAAUACAUGCAAGUCGAGCGAACAGACGAGGAGCUUGCUCCUCUGACGUUAGCGGCGGACGGGUGAGUAACACGUGGAUAACCUACCUAUAAGACUGGGAUAACUUCGGGAAACCGGAGCUAAUACCGGAUAAUAUAUUGAACCGCAUGGUUCAAUAGUGAAAGACGGUUUUGCUGUCACUUAUAGAUGGAUCCGCGCCGCAUUGGCUAGUUGGUAAGGUAACGGCUUACCAAGGCAACGAUGCGUAGCCGACCUGAGAGGGGGAUCGGCCACCCUGGAACUGGGACACGGACCAGACGCCUACGGGAGGCAGCAGUAGGGAAUCGUCCGCAAUGGGCGAAAGCCUUACGGAGCAAGGCCGCGUGAGUGAUGAAGGUCUUCGGAUCGUAAAACUCUGUUAUUAGGGAAGAACAAAUGUGUAAGUAACUAUGCACGGCUUGACGGUACCUAAUCAGAAAGCCACGGCUAACUACGUG
This 497-nucleotide ribosomal RNA is filed under the name uncultured bacterium. Its description in RNAcentral is "partial 16S ribosomal RNA". It matches the Rfam family "Bacterial small subunit ribosomal RNA", at positions 28 to 507 of the family's 1533-position model. The record is from RNAcentral.